AAUUGAAGAGUUUGAUCAUGGCUCAGAUUGAACGCUGGCGGCAGGCCUAACACAUGCAAGUCGAGCGGUAGCACAGAGAGCUUGCUCUCGGGUGACGAGCGGCGGACGGGUGAGUAAUGUCUGGGAAACUGCCUGAUGGAGGGGGAUAACUACUGGAAACGGUAGCUAAUACCGCAUAACGUCGCAAGACCAAAGUGGGGGACCUUCGGGCCUCAUGCCAUCAGAUGUGCCCAGAUGGGAUUAGCUAGUAGGUGGGGUAAUGGCUCACCUAGGCGACGAUCCCUAGCUGGUCUGAGAGGAUGACCAGCCACACUGGAACUGAGACACGGUCCAGACUCCUACGGGAGGCAGCAGUGGGGAAUAUUGCACAAUGGGCGCAAGCCUGAUGCAGCCAUGCCGCGUGUGUGAAGAAGGCCUUCGGGUUGUAAAGCACUUUCAGCGGGGAGGAAGGCGUUAAGGUUAAUAACCUUGGCGAUUGACGUUACCCGCAGAAGAAGCACCGGCUAACUCCGUGCCAGCAGCCGCGGUAAUACGGAGGGUGCAAGCGUUAAUCGGAAUUACUGGGCGUAAAGCGCACGCAGGCGGUCUGUCAAGUCGGAUGUGAAAUCCCCGGGCUCAACCUGGGAACUGCAUUCGAAACUGGCAGGCUAGAGUCUUGUAGAGGGGGGUAGAAUUCCAGGUGUAGCGGUGAAAUGCGUAGAGAUCUGGAGGAAUACCGGUGGCGAAGGCGGCCCCCUGGACAAAGACUGACGCUCAGGUGCGAAAGCGUGGGGAGCAAACAGGAUUAGAUACCCUGGUAGUCCACGCCGUAAACGAUGUCGAUUUGGAGGUUGUGCCCUUGAGGCGUGGCUUCCGGAGCUAACGCGUUAAAUCGACCGCCUGGGGAGUACGGCCGCAAGGUUAAAACUCAAAUGAAUUGACGGGGGCCCGCACAAGCGGUGGAGCAUGUGGUUUAAUUCGAUGCAACGCGAAGAACCUUACCUGGUCUUGACAUCCACAGAACUUUCCAGAGAUGGAUUGGUGCCUUCGGGAACUGUGAGACAGGUGCUGCAUGGCUGUCGUCAGCUCGUGUUGUGAAAUGUUGGGUUAAGUCCCGCAACGAGCGCAACCCUUAUCCUUUGUUGCCAGCGGUCCGGCCGGGAACUCAAAGGAGACUGCCAGUGAUAAACUGGAGGAAGGUGGGGAUGACGUCAAGUCAUCAUGGCCCUUACGACCAGGGCUACACACGUGCUACAAUGGCAUAUACAAAGAGAAGCGACCUCGCGAGAGCAAGCGGACCUCAUAAAGUAUGUCGUAGUCCGGAUUGGAGUCUGCAACUCGACUCCAUGAAGUCGGAAUCGCUAGUAAUCGUAGAUCAGAAUGCUACGGUGAAUACGUUCCCGGGCCUUGUACACACCGCCCGUCACACCAUGGGAGUGGGUUGCAAAAGAAGUAGGUAGCUUAACCUUCGGGAGGGCGCUUACCACUUUGUGAUUCAUGACUGGGGUGAAGUCGUAACAAGGUAACCGUAGGGGAACCUGCGGUUGGAUCACCUCCUUA
RNAcentral lists this ribosomal RNA (1539 nucleotides) under Klebsiella pneumoniae subsp. pneumoniae KPNIH27. RNAcentral describes it as "bacterial SSU rRNA". It matches the Rfam family "Bacterial small subunit ribosomal RNA". Lineage: Bacteria; Pseudomonadati; Pseudomonadota; Gammaproteobacteria; Enterobacterales; Enterobacteriaceae. The record is from RNAcentral.